UGUGCAUGGAUUUUUGUGCAAUCCUAUUUACAAACCAACUGAAAAAAAAAAUAAAGAGUUCCAAUCCCAGAGUACACUGUGUAGCUCCGAGCAUGCCAGAGAAGGCAGCUGUGGUGCACUUGUGAUGUCCUCUGAGGGCUCCGGGCGCUGUCCUCACCACGGCGGUGGGUUCCGCUGCCUGAGUGGAUCCAUUACAGCAACUCGAGCUUCAGGUGGUCCUUUAUAACCCAGCUCAAGAGGAUGCGUCUCCAAGACUCAGGAGGAGCAUAGCUGUGCCUCAGCUGCAAUGUUCUGUGACCUAAUCUGAGGGGAAAUUCGGGUGGAAGAAUGCAGACUGCAGCUGCGGCCCCUGCCCUGGCCCUGGCCACCCACUGAUGGUCUGAGCUAUCUACACACCCUUUGGCCUUCUAGUCAGUUACUUCUAAAAGCUCUUUAAAAGUCUUAAGAAGAUGACAAAGUGAUUUUACUGGUCACAUACGAAAUGAGAGCUGGAUUCCAAGGCCUUGGCCGGGGAGUUUCUGGUAUCGUGGCAUAUGCUGAACGCUGCCCUGACCACAGUGAGUGCGGAAGCAUCUCAGCUCUGUCUGCUCCGUUUUCUCUGAGUCCUCUCUGACCCGAUCCAAGAGAAAAAUGUGCUGCAAUAUUGGCCGUCUUCUGUUGGUGUUGCUAAGUUACAGAAUAUUUUGCCUUGCCUUGCCCAGAAAACUGUGCUAAUUGUGUUUAAAGAGAUAAACCAUGUUCCGGAACAUC
This is a long non-coding RNA of Cebus imitator (Panamanian white-faced capuchin), 750 nucleotides long. RefSeq lists it as uncharacterized. Lineage: Eukaryota; Metazoa; Chordata; Mammalia; Primates; Cebidae. The record is from RefSeq and is a predicted model, not a curated record. The transcript has 3 exons.